GGCAUAAGCAAACCGGAUUCUAACUCCUAACACAUUAAUACCGCAAGACCUUAAUAUACAUAACAAGACAUUAACGUGGAGGUUUCGAAACGUAAAAUACUCACUGAAUUAACAAAACAGCCGCAGCCCCAUAUCAACCUGGCAGCGGCUCCGUCAGCCACCUCAAGCGGCAGCGGCAAUGAAAGACUCCGACAACCGCGACUGCACAACAACGUCAUGACGAUAAAGACCCAUGAAUAGAAAGGAAUGAAGACCAAAUGCAAGGACCCUUACCGGCAGUGGUUUUCCAGGCGACAUGAGCUGCA
This is a non-coding RNA of Arachis ipaensis, 305 nucleotides long. The record is from RefSeq and is a predicted model, not a curated record. NCBI's taxonomy places the organism in Eukaryota, Viridiplantae, Streptophyta, Magnoliopsida, Fabales, Fabaceae.